GUCGUCACCCCUUAUAACGUGUUACCCGCCUUCGGACUACGUCGUUGCGGCGCACGCCCUACUGCCGGAAGCCCAACAUUUGGCGAAAGCGGACACUGCUUCGCACUCACUGCCAUUACCCAUUUCUUCGUGGCCGAUUGAUGCACGGUCGUCGGCGCCACUAUGCAUCCCACGCUCGCAACAGGCCUAAAUAACCCGCAUUUCCCGAGCAUCCACCAACUAGCGCAGCCUUCACAUUAGAACCCCGAAUUGGGACUCGCACGAAAGCUAUGCCCAACUGAACUCCUUCCAUCCCCUCUUACCUUAAGGACCACCUCGCCACCUUACGCGUCUAUAGUCCUCCUUGUGGUCACCGCUUCCGCCAAGAGACCCGGAAAGGACUGCGACUCCUCGCUUUCGCACCCCUCGCUGGUCCGAAUCUAUGGGACCAUCAGGUGCGACA
This 442-nucleotide ribosomal RNA is filed under the name uncultured bacterium. Its description in RNAcentral is "partial 16S ribosomal RNA". The record is from RNAcentral.